GCUUGGCGUUCCUCCCUGCCGGGCCCGAAAGGCUUGGCGUUCCUCCCUGCCGGGCCCGAAAGGCUUGGCGUUCCUCCCUGCCGGGCCCGAAAGGCUUGGCGUUCCUUGAAUAACUCUUGAAUAAGUUUUUUCAGUGGAUCAUGAGAUGAGUGAGGCACAAAUCCAGGAUCAUGGUUGCAUAGCUAGCAAUGAGCAUUUCCAGUCGUUUUCUCAGAAGUGGGACAGGACUUCGCAAACUAAGGAACCAAGCAAAGAAGAGCUUCCCUUUCAACAUCUAACAAAGGAUCCCAUCCUGCUUCUGAAGCACUGUUAUCAACACAAGUGCUGAGGGUGGCCCAGCUGGGUAAAUAUGCAUUGACAUAAUGACAAAUCUCUCCGGUGGCUGAGGGGAAUGGUGGGCCCUAGAGAAGGCAGGAAGAGGCUGAGGAGAGCAACCCCACAGCAGAUGCCCAUUCCCUUUCUGGCUGGGUUUGCAAAAGCCUCGUGUACACUCAAGGUCAUGAGGCUUUUGCAAAGAGGGGGCAUAGUUUCCCGGGAAACGACUUCACCCCAGGAGUGGAAUCCACACCUUAGUUUACAGAGCUCCCUUCAAACUAGUUACUGAAGUUGCAGCUCAGGUUUGCACCCAUUCCAUCUCUUGAUUCCGAGUGUGGGUCCCCAACCCCCCCCUUCCCCUGGCUCCGCAUCCAGUGCGGGGUGCAAAUGUCACGUCUAGUCCUGGCAGGGUGCAAGAAACAAGGCUGGACCCCACAGUGAACCAGUCUGUAGGGCCAAGCAGGGGGGCAGAGGGUGCUCUAGUGAAAGCGAUCCCCGCCCUCUCUUGGCCUUCUGCAGGGACACCUCGGCAUCCACUCACCCCCCCCCUCAGGUGACAGUGUAGGAUUAGCUGGUCGCCAUUUGGGGCCGAGUAGGAAUUUUCCCCAUCCACCCGGAUUGGCCUGGAGGUGGCUGGUUUUUCGCCUACUCUGCACUGUUGCACUGGAAGGGAUUUUUGAUCGGGCGGAUGUUAGGAGUGGUGCCGCUAAAUAGUGUAGCCCCAUGGUCACCAUGGCAGGUCUGGGAGGGGGGGAUGUAAUGCCCCACCCCAUUGGUGGCAGGUGCGAUUUCCCCCAGCUACACAGCAGUUCUCUGCUAAUACGAGUCAAUAAACUGAUGGCCCUAGUUUCAACCAA
Molecule: long non-coding RNA, 1172 nt
Organism: Hemicordylus capensis (graceful crag lizard)
Lineage: Eukaryota; Metazoa; Chordata; Lepidosauria; Squamata; Cordylidae
Exons: 2
Source: RefSeq, a predicted model, not a curated record